This 1380-nucleotide long non-coding RNA is filed under the name Felis catus (domestic cat). RNAcentral's name for it is "lncRNA (ENSFCAG00000049626.1)". The record is from RNAcentral. Lineage: Eukaryota; Metazoa; Chordata; Mammalia; Carnivora; Felidae.
AUGUAUUUUAUCUUGGGAGCUGACGCACUGGGCUCUCAACGUGGUGUGGAAAGCAGCCUGUUACAGUGCUGGAUUCAUAAAAGGGCCUUUAUGGUUUGUGAAAGAAUAUCUGUGUGCUUAGGCAGGAAACUUUUUGAUCUGCAGAAAAGCCAGAAGACAUCUAGGGUAUUCUUGAAGUUAAUCAGAGAAAUAUUCAUGCACCUGUAAAGGUAGGGAAAAGAAACUUUUCUGGUUAUAAAAUAUGUUGUGUUUGUUUUAGCUGUGUUGCAAUAAUUUAUUCAUCAUGUCAGACAUAGCUAGAAUUGAUGUUGCUUAUUCUGAAUAAUCAAAAAGUUUGUUACAUCUACUUGUUUCCUAAACUUGAAAUCAUCCAACACAUAGUAUUUAAUCAUCAGUUUGAAUUUCUCUUCCAUACUAUUACAUACCACUAUAUAUAAUAUACAUACCACUAUGUAUAAUACUAUAAUAUAGUAUUAUAAUUUAUGUUUACGGUAGACAGAAUUUAGUCUUUCUUUUACAUUUUUAUAUUACUCUCUCCAUAAUUUUAGGGUGGUGAGACAUAUCAUAUACAAUUUUCACACAUCAAGAAGGCAGUUUUUUAAUAUGUACAUUUGUGUAUAAUAAUACAUGUAAUAUAUUAUUAGAAACUGAGAUUCUUUUGUCUACCCUAAUUUCAUAUUUUUCUUGUUAUUUUAAGCCUAUAAUUUUUGAAGAAACAACCAAGUAACCACAAGUAUAAUUAGCUAUCAGUGAUUUAGUAAUAUAAAUAUUAAUUUGGAAGAAUUUACUUCAUUAUUAGCUUUACUUAAUAUGAGCGCCAGAAAAGGUGGUCCCUUUCUUGGCUAGGACCUAUGUGAAGAUAAAUUUAGAAUUUCUAGUCUAGUAAAUACUUCUCUGAUAAUAGCUUAAUUGUAGCUAUUUCAAACCCAAUUGUUUAAUUGUGGUGAAUCAUAUGCAAAUCGUUCAGAUGUAGGUCAACCCCCACUCCCACAUUCCAGUACCUUUUUGCUAAAUUCAAGACAAAUUGCUCAAUGCUUAAAAGAGACAGAACAGUGCAAAUUAAAGACAUAAGACUAAAAUCAAAACAACAAUAACAUAACCACCAGUGGGCCAGGAGUCAGAAAGUUCUCCUGAAGACGGUACAGCAGGUUGCACGGAUCUAUACCUUUGUUCAUGAUCUCUUGUGUUGGCUGUGUGUUGGUACACAAUAGUUUGCUCACUGCUCAUGCGAUUUGUGGCUGGCAAAGCAUGGUGCCUCUAGAAUACUAAGUUUCCUCAUCUGCAAAUGCAUGUAAUAUCUUUCUUGUCCGCUUGUUGAACUGCAAUGAGGAAGCAGUAGAACAAGGAAUGUAAAAUAAAUGUGUGAUGGCUCUAAUCCCA